Molecule: ribosomal RNA, 119 nt
Filed under: Pteropus alecto (black flying fox)
Lineage: Eukaryota; Metazoa; Chordata; Mammalia; Chiroptera; Pteropodidae
Source: RNAcentral
UACUAUGGCUAUGCCACCGUGAACAAGCCCGAUCCCAUCUGAUCUUAGAAGCUAAGCAGAGUCGGGCCUGGUUGGUACUUGGAUGGGAGACCACCUAGGAAGACCAGGUGCUGUAGGUG